RNAcentral lists this ribosomal RNA (492 nucleotides) under uncultured bacterium. RNAcentral's name for it is "partial 16S ribosomal RNA". It matches the Rfam family "Bacterial small subunit ribosomal RNA", at positions 29 to 507 of the family's 1533-position model. The record is from RNAcentral.
AGUGAACGCUGGCGGUGUGCCUAACACAUGCAAGUCGAACGGCAGCACAGUAAGAUCUUGCUCUUACGGGUGGCGAGUGGCGGACGAGUAAGGAGUAGAUCGCAAUCUUCUUUUUCUUGGGUGACAACGUGGGAACGCAGACACUACUACCGCAUACGUCCUACGGGUUAGAUCAAUAGAUCUUCGCACCUUUCGCGAUUCUAUUAGCCGGGGCCGGAUUAGCUAGUUGGCUGGGUAAAGGCCCACCAAGGCAACGAUCCGUAGCCGGUCUGAGAGGAUGAUCAGCCACACUGGAACUGAGACACGGUCCAGACUCCUACGGGAGGCAGCAGUGGGGAAUAUUGGGCAAUGGGCGAAAGCCUGAUGCAGCAACACCGCGUGGGUGAAGAAGGUCUUCGGGUUGUAAAGCCCUUUUGUUGGGAAAGAAAAACAGUGGGUGAAACCACGGCUGUUCUGACGGUACCCAAAGAAUAAGCACCGGCUAACUUCGUG